GCAGAGCCAGGUGGAUCUCUGUGAGUUCGAGGCCAGCCUGGUCUACAGAGUGAGAUCCAGGACAGGCUCCAAAGCUACAGAGAAACCCUGUCUGGAAAAACCCACACACACACACAAAAGAUUAGACUAAGAUAAGAGAACCUAGCUCAGAGGUUAAAAGCACUGGCUGUUCUUCCAGAGGUCCUGAGUUCAAUUCCCAGCAACCACAUGGUGGCUCACAACCAUCUGUAAUGAGACCUGGCUCCUUCUUCUGGCUUGAAGGGAUAUGCACAAGCAGAACACUGUAUAUAUAAUAAAUAAAU
Molecule: non-coding RNA, 302 nt
Organism: Peromyscus maniculatus bairdii (prairie deer mouse)
Lineage: Eukaryota; Metazoa; Chordata; Mammalia; Rodentia; Cricetidae
Source: RefSeq, a predicted model, not a curated record